AGGAAGAUUAAUACCGCNUAAGAUUGUAGUAUCGCAUGAUAUAGCAAUUAAAGGAGCAAUUCGCUAUAAGAUGGACCCGCGUCGCAUUAGCUAGUUGGUGAGGUAAUGGCUCACCAAGGCGACGAUGCGUAGCCGACCUGAGAGGGUGAUCGGCCACAUUCGGGACUGAGACACGGCCCAGACUCCUACGGGAGGCAGCAUG
This 202-nucleotide ribosomal RNA is filed under the name uncultured bacterium. RNAcentral describes it as "partial 16S ribosomal RNA". It matches the Rfam family "Bacterial small subunit ribosomal RNA", at positions 156 to 353 of the family's 1533-position model. The record is from RNAcentral.